Molecule: long non-coding RNA, 469 nt
Organism: Zea mays
Lineage: Eukaryota; Viridiplantae; Streptophyta; Magnoliopsida; Poales; Poaceae
Exons: 2
Source: RefSeq, a predicted model, not a curated record
UCAUGCUUAGUAUUUCAUUUCAGUCAUGUUUUGUGUGAAGUGAUCUAUGGAGAUGUAUUGGUCGACAGGUUAAACAUGCAUAUAGAGGAGUGUGGUGAUCAGGGCGCCAUGAGAACUCAUUAUGGGCAUGAACAAGAUUUGAACAGCUACAGAACUUUAUAGCUGGGGCAACCACUGCCAUAUGAUCAAGAUCUGGGGCAACCACUGCCAUAUGAACAAGUUUUGAAGAGAGAAACAUCAAGUAAGUGCCGACAUCACAACCCCUACAAGCUUGUGCCUUAAAACAAGAGGAUACAAGAAGUUGGAGUGCUUUUGUGAAGGCUUUUGUGACUCACUUGAAGCAUUGGUACUUUUGUGAAUGAUUUUGUAAAGUGUUUGUAAAUAUGUGCAAAAUAUAAUAACAUGUGUAGGUUUUGUGAAUGAUUUUGUUGUGGUGCUUGUUGAUGGUUUAUGUGAUGUGGAUCUAUCA